UAUCUUUUUCGAAUAAAAGAAGCAAGAUACGAUCGAUGCAUUUCAUUCAAAUGCCACGAGAGAGAAAGAGAAACAAACGAGCAUGGAAAGAAGCGGAUCGUAGUAGCUCGGUAAAUAUAUAUAUAUAUAUAUAUAUAUAUAUAUAUAUAUAUUUUUUUUUUUUUUUUCGGUAAAUAUAUUUCUUUGCUUGAUGAAUGUUUUUAGCUUUACAUUAACGUUUAACUUAUCUCGUUUGCUCGACUGAAAGAUGUUUUUGUUAUGUAUUAAUUAGUAUUAUCUACAAAUUUAUCAUUCUACGUAUAUUUUGAGUUUAUGUAGAAAAUUUUGACAUAUUAUAUUUAAUCUCGUUAACGUUUGCGAUACGUAAAUCUCGGAUUCGGGUGCAUGUCAGCAUGUGUGCUACUGUUUUUCACUUUUAGAUUGUUGCUACUACCAAUACUAGUUUAUUUCGGGUACAUUUCAUUUUUUUAAGUAAUACAAAUCUAAUGACUCACACCAACGUUGAUGUUAUUCAUAUGAAUCACAUAUUUAAUUAUUUAUAGUAACGAGAUUUUGAGUAACUAGUAAUAAAAAAAAUCGUUAGUAGUUCGAAAUAUUAAUACGUAUUGAACAACCUUGGUGUGAGAAUAUCGUCCCAAAAACCCUACUAAAUUGAAGCUUUAGGUCAUCCUUUUUUAAGCUGAUACGUUAGUGAUUAACAUGCAUGAAUACAUACUUCCAUCGAGAAAUUUAUUUUAUUUUCUUGUUAAAUAAUAUUUAUCAAUUCGAGUUAUAGACAUAGUAACUGCUAAAUCUUGUUUUUCAUGAAAAAGAGGUGAUUACUAUAUUAAAUUUUCAGAACUCAAUAUCUUACAGAAAUAAGAUAUCAGAUGCUUGUCAUAUGUCUAUUACAUCACGAAGAACUAAUUAAUCAAAUCUAAACUAGUACGCUUAAGCAACAUAGUGGAAUGGUAUUAUUUACAUACACUCGUGUACUUCAUGGAUACUAAAGCAAUUCUGUUUUUGUUUUGUUUUUGCUGUCAUUAAUCUUUUUCUGUAUCAAAUGCUUUUUCAUAUGUCUAAAUAUAUGCGUGUAUUUUUUUGUUCUUUCACAGGUCGAUACCAAUUGAUUACUGUCCAUGGAAUAUUCAUUUGAGCAAGAUGUUGGCAUGAAGUUGCACCGGUGAAGGACGAGCUGAAUCUAUAUCAAUACUGCCUCGACCUCGAUCCUUCACCUUGUUAUUACAUACAUAGUCAGAAUCUCAUUGUCGACUAUGUAUGAAUUAACAUUGUGGAUGUUGAUUUACAAAAGAAGUUUUUGAUACUUACGUGACUUUCAUUGUUGUCUGAAAUAACUAUGUUAUAUAUGUAUAAAGGUUCGUAGGUGAAAUUGGAAAUAAUUUUAUAAAAGUAGUGAUCAUUACAAGGAAUUAAUUAUUCUUUCUUCUGUUAUAGGGCCAUCAAAGUAUUAUGGAAUUGUUUUAAAUAUUCUUUCUCUACUGUAAUUAAUGUAUCUAUUAGUAACUGAAAAUAAUUAGACUUUUUUGC
Molecule: long non-coding RNA, 1527 nt
Filed under: Eutrema salsugineum
Lineage: Eukaryota; Viridiplantae; Streptophyta; Magnoliopsida; Brassicales; Brassicaceae
Description: long non-coding RNA (ESAL_LNC000473)
Source: RNAcentral